UAUUCCUGUACCACCUCCUCACCAUUUGAGCAAUGGGGGGACGCAGGAGGAUAGGGUAAGCGCGGUAUUGGAUAUCCGCGUCCAAGCAGUUAGGCUGGGAAAUAGGCAAAUCCGUUUCCCAUAAGGCUGAGCUGUGAUGGCGAGCGAAAUAUAGUAGCGAAGUUCCUGAUUCCACACUGCCAAGAAAAGCCUCUAGCGAGGUGAGAGGUGCCCGUACCGCAAACCGACACAGGUAGGCGAGGAGAGAAUCCUAAGGUGAUCGAGAGAACUCUCGUUAAGGAACUCGGCAAAAUGACCCCGUAACUUCGGGAGAAGGGGUGCUCUGUUAGGGUGCAAGCCCGAGAGAGCCGCAGUGAAUAGGCCCAGGCGACUGUUUAGCAAAAACACAGGUCUCUGCGAAGCCGUAAGGCGAAGUAUAGGGGCUGACGCCUGCCCGGUGCUGGAAGGUUAAGAGGAGCGCUUAGCGUAAGCGAAGGUGCGAAUUGAAGCCCCAGUAAACGGCGGCCGUAACAAUAACGGUCCUAAGGUAGCGAAAUUCCUUGUCGGGUAAGUUCCGACCCGCACGAAAGGCGCAACGAUCUGGGCACUGUCUCAACGAGAGACUCGGUGAAAUUAUAGUACCUGUGAAGAUGCAGGUUACCCGCGACAGGACGGAAAGACCCCGUGGAGCUUUACUGUAGCCUGAUAUUGAAUGUUGGUACAGCUUGUACAGGAUAGGUAGGAGCCUUGGAAACCGGAGCGCCAGCUUCGGUGGAGGCAUCGGUGGGAUACUACCCUGGCUGUAUUGACCUUCUAACCCGCCGCCCUUAUCGGGCGGGGAGACAGUAUCAGGUGGGCAGUUUGACUGGGGCGGUCGCCUCCUAAAAGGUAACGGAGGCGCCCAAAGGUUCCCUCAGAAUGGUUGGAAAUCAUUCGCAGAGUGUAAAGGCACAAGGGAGCUUGACUGCGAGACCUACAAGUCGAGCAGGGACGAAAGUCGGGCUUAGUGAUCCGGUGGUUCCGCAUGGAAGGGCCAUCGCUCAACGGAUAAAAGCUACCCCGGGGAUACAGGCUUAUCUCCCCCAAGAGUCCACAUCGACGGGGAGGUUUGGCACCUCGAUGUCGGCUCAUCGCAUCCUGGGGCUGUAGUCGGUCCCAAGGGUUGGGCUGUUCGCCCAUUAAAGCGGUACGCGAGCUGGGUUCAGAACGUCGUGAGACAGUUCGGUCCCUAUCCGUCGCGGGCGCAGGAAAUUUGAGAGGAGCUGUCCUUAGUACGAGAGGACCGGGAUGGACGCACCGCUGGUGUACCAGUUGUUCUGCCAAGGGCAUCGCUGGGUAGCUAUGUGCGGACGGGAUAAGUGCUGAAAGCAUCUAAGCAUGAAGCCCCCCUCAAGAUGAGAUUUCCCAUUCCGCAAGGAAGUAAGAUCCCUGAAAGAUGAUCAGGUUGAUAGGUCUGAGGUGGAAGUGUGGCGACACAUGGAGCUGACAGAUACUAAUCGAUCGAGGACUUAACC
This 1493-nucleotide ribosomal RNA is filed under the name metagenome. RNAcentral describes it as "bacterial LSU rRNA". It matches the Rfam family "Bacterial large subunit ribosomal RNA", at positions 1434 to 2925 of the family's 2925-position model. The record is from RNAcentral.